AAUAUUAAGAGUUUGAUCCUGGCUCAGGAUGAACGCUGGCUGUGUGCCUAAUACAUGCAUGUCGAGCGAGGCUAGCAAUAGCCUAGCGGCGA
RNAcentral lists this ribosomal RNA (92 nucleotides) under Metamycoplasma equirhinis. Its description in RNAcentral is "Mycoplasma equirhinis partial 16S ribosomal RNA". It matches the Rfam family "Bacterial small subunit ribosomal RNA", at positions 1 to 101 of the family's 1533-position model. Lineage: Bacteria; Bacillati; Mycoplasmatota; Mycoplasmoidales; Metamycoplasmataceae. The record is from RNAcentral.